UACAGAGGGGGCAAGCGUUGUUCGGAAUUACUGGGCGUAAAGGGCGCGUAGGCGGCCUUCUAAGUCGAACGUGAAAUCCCCGGGCUCAACCCGGGAACUGCGUCCGAUACUGGAAGGCUUGAAUCCGGGAGAGGGAUGCGGAAUUCCAGGUGUAGCGGUGAAAUGCGUAGAUAUCAGGAGGAACACCGGUGGCGAAGGCGGGAUCCUGGGCCAGUACUGACGCUGAGGAGCGAAAGCGUGGGGAGCAAACAGG
RNAcentral lists this ribosomal RNA (253 nucleotides) under uncultured bacterium. RNAcentral describes it as "partial 16S ribosomal RNA". It matches the Rfam family "Bacterial small subunit ribosomal RNA", at positions 524 to 776 of the family's 1533-position model. The record is from RNAcentral.